This 571-nucleotide small RNA is filed under the name Pan troglodytes (chimpanzee). RNAcentral describes it as "processed transcript". The record is from RNAcentral. Lineage: Eukaryota; Metazoa; Chordata; Mammalia; Primates; Hominidae.
UUUGUCCUGUUCUGCACGGCAGGCAGCAGCAAUUCCCUGGCACUGCGUGGAGCUGUACAGGCUAAUGACAAACUAUGUGACCUUCAUGGUGGGGGAGAUUCUGCUCCUCAUCCUGACCAUCUGCUCCCUGGCUGCCAUCUUUCCCCGGGCCUUUCCUAAGAAGCUUGUGGCCUUCUCAACUUGGAUUGACCGGACCCGCUGGGCCAGGAACACCUGGGCCAUGCUCGCCAUCUUCAUCCUGGUGAUGGCAAAUGUCGUGGACAUGCUCAGCUGUCUCCAGUACUACACGGGACCCGGCAAUGCAACGGCAGGGAUGGAGACGGAGGGCAGCUGCCUGGAGAACCCCAAGUAUUACAACUAUGUGGCCGUGCUGUCCCUCAUCGCCACCAUCAUGCUGGUGCAGGUCAGCCACAUGGUGAAGCUCACGCUCAUGCUGCUCGUCGCAGGCGCCGUGGCCACCAUCAACCUCUAUGCCUGGCGCCCCGUCUUUGAUGAAUACGACCACAAGCGUUUUCGGGAGCACGACUUACCUAUGGUGGCCUUAGAGCAGAUGCAAGGAUUCAACCCUGGG